This 473-nucleotide ribosomal RNA is filed under the name uncultured bacterium. Its description in RNAcentral is "bacterial SSU rRNA". It matches the Rfam family "Bacterial small subunit ribosomal RNA", at positions 34 to 507 of the family's 1533-position model. The record is from RNAcentral.
CGCUGGCGACGUGCCUAACACAUGCAAGUCAACUUGACUGAAGGAGCAAUCUGACAGUAGAGUGGCGCAAGGGUGCGUAACGCGUAAGUAACUUGCCCAAGGUAAGGAAUAACGUCGAGAAAUCGGCGCUAAUACCUCAUAAUGCAGCGGAUCCGCAUGGAUAUGUUGUUAAAGGUUUACCGCCUUGGGAUAGGCUUGCGUCUGAUUAGCUAGUUGGUGUGGUAACGGCACACCAAGGCUACGAUCAGUAACUGGUCUGAGAGGAUGAUCAGUCACACUGGAACUGAGACACGGUCCAGACUCCUACGGGAGGCAGCAGUGAGGAAUAUUGGGCAAUGCUCGAAAGAGUGACCCAGCAACGCCGCGUGGAGGAUGAAGGUAUUCUAUAUCGUAAACUCCUGUGAGAGCAGACGAAAGACAGAUUAUUAAUCUGGAUGACUGUAUGCUCAGAGGAAGCCCCGGCUAGCUACGUG